RNAcentral lists this long non-coding RNA (397 nucleotides) under Elaeis guineensis (African oil palm). Its description in RNAcentral is "long non-coding RNA (EGUI_LNC074716)". The record is from RNAcentral. Lineage: Eukaryota; Viridiplantae; Streptophyta; Magnoliopsida; Arecales; Arecaceae.
CUCACAAAGUUUGCAAGCUGGUUACAAAGAGCAAAUAAGUGAAUCAUAAUAUUAUUUGCAAUCAAGACCAUUGGUUUGAACUCUAAUAUGCAGCUGCUGACAUCUAACCUUGAGUUGGGUCACUUCUAGCCAGAGAUAGCAUAGGUUAGUUGCUAGGAUAUACUUAGAUGAAUCCCUAGUUAAAGUUUGAUUUUUGUCCUACUUUCAGACUAAGUUUCAGCUAUAACUUCUUUUAAGCCUGUGACAUGGUGUCCAAUCAUCUGGUUAAGAUGAACUAUAGAUGAUUUUGGAGUUCAUCCUCAAUAAGCCAACAUGAUCAAGAUAUAUACAUGUAUAUGUACAUACAUAUACAUGUAUAUGUACAUAUACAUGUAUAUAUAGAUAUGUAUGUACACAC